Molecule: ribosomal RNA, 483 nt
Filed under: uncultured bacterium
Lineage: Bacteria
Description: bacterial SSU rRNA
Rfam family: Bacterial small subunit ribosomal RNA
Source: RNAcentral
GAUGAACGCUGGCGGCGUGCCUAACACAUGCAAGUCGAACGGAACUUCUUCGACAGAAUUCUUCGGAAGGAAGUUGAUUAAGUUUAGUGGCGGACGGGUGAGUAACGCGUGAGUAACCUGCCUUUGAGAGGGGAAUAACUUCCCGAAAGGGAUGCUAAUACCGCAUGAUGCAUAGAAGUCGCAUGGCUUUUAUGCCAAAGAUUUAUCGCUCAAAGAUGGACUCGCGUCCGAUUAGCCAGUUGGCGGGGUAACGGCCCACCAAAGCGACGAUCGGUAGCCGGACUGAGAGGUUGAACGGCCACAUUGGGACUGAGACACGGCCCAGACUCCUACGGGAGGCAGCAGCGGGGGAUAUUGCGCAAUGGGGGAAACCCUGACGCAGCAACGCCGCGUGAAGGAUGAAGGUUUUCGGAUUGUAAAACUUCUUUUAAUUUAGGACGAAGAAUGACGGUACUAAAUGAAUAAGCUCCGGCUAACUACGUG